UAACUCAACACAUCAAAACAAGAAUCAGAGGUUCACCCACUCCCAAGGGUCUCACUCCCUAUUUUCCCUUCCUCUUUACCCCUUUCCAUUUCCAUCUUCAUUUCCAUGGCAGAAGCAACACACGCUCAAUGGCUUCGCAACAAGAAUCAGAGGUUCCCCAAAUUUCUGGGGCCACACCUCCGAAGAAGAAUACUACACCUGUACGCAACACCAAAUCAUAUUUCCAAACUCCCAACGGCAAAAUCCUUCCUCCCACUUAACACCCAACAAAUCAAACCCACCGUUUACAUGACUCACGGCUACGGCUACGGCUACGGCUACGGUUAUUGAAGACGACAACAACAACGACCUUGAAGAAGGUGAGAUCCUCGACGAAGACGAUUCUUCUGCCACGUCCAAACCCCACACCACCGCCACCGUCCAUCAACCUCAACCCCUCGAGAAUUCUUGGACCUUCUUGGACCUUCUGGUUCGAUAAGCCUUCUGUCAAAUCAAAACAAGCUGUUUGGGGUAGUUCUAUUCGACCCAUCUACACUUUCGCCACUGUUGAAGAGUUUUUGAGAAUUUGCCUAUGGUGAAAGACAAGGAACAAGAAAAGAAGGACAGGAAGAAGAGUGGGUGCCCUGAGAUAAAAAGGCUACAAGUUCGGUCAUGUAAAUUAUGAAGAUCCUCAUUUCGAUGUUGGUUUGCCUGUAUUUACCAUUCAUGGAAAUCAUGACGAUCCGGCUGGCUGUCGUGGUUAUUCUGUUAUAUAAUUGGAGCACAAAAUGUUUGACAGCGUGCUUAUCGGUGGAGUCUUUAUACUAGGAUAUAGAAUUUGGCUUCUCUGAGAAUAAUAACUGCUUUCAGUUUUGUUGGGAUUUGUAUGGGGUAGUUCCAGACCCUAUGAAGAGAUGACACAGAAAAAAAGAAGAGGAAGCUGCAAAUCUCAUGAAGGAAGAGGAAGAGCAUAUGAAACUUCAGACACAUGAAUCAUGAUCAAGGAAACAAAAUUGAACCGUUAGAAGAACAAAAUUGUCAUGAAAUCCUCAACUUUUUUCCUUUUAUCAUCAUCAAUCAUACUCAUGAUUUGGUGAACAAUUUGGGUACAAUCACAAGUUGAAGGCUCUAGGCGAUUUAAAAGUUGAAUUGGUGUUUGAACGGAGAUUGUAGUGUCUAUGGUUAUGAGAAAGGCAACACAUAGGAUUGCCAAAAGAUAGAAGAUGUUCUUUCGAGUCUAGUAGUUGCCGGUCUAAUCAUGGAACAUCAUUAGGGACUAUCUAGAUGAUUUAUGAACUAAGUUUGAUGUUGGUUUGCAUUUUCAGUCAUUCUAUUAAUGUUUUGAUUUUUGAAUAUUUAAACUAAUUUAAGUUUAAUUCAAUAUAUGGUCGUUACUUUUGAAUA
This is a long non-coding RNA of Cicer arietinum (chickpea), 1383 nucleotides long. RefSeq lists it as uncharacterized. Lineage: Eukaryota; Viridiplantae; Streptophyta; Magnoliopsida; Fabales; Fabaceae. The record is from RefSeq and is a predicted model, not a curated record.